AUUCCGGURCCGUCAUCCACACCAUUUAUURGAUGGUGCGAUUUCGUCCCGGCCGAAAGAGCUUUACAACCCGAAGGCCUUCUUCACUCACGCGGCAUGGCUGGAUCAGGGUUGCCCCCAUUGUCCAAAAUUCCCCACUGCUGCCUCCCGUAGGAGUCUGGGCCGUGUCUCAGUCCCAGUGUGGCUGGUCGUCCUCUCAGACCAGCUACGGAUCGUCGCCUUGGUAGGCCUUUACCCUACCAACUAGCUAAUCCGGCAUCGGCCGCUCGUAUAACGUGAGGUCUUGCGAUCCCCCACUUUCCCCCUCAGGGCGUAUGCGGUAUUAGCAAGUCUUUCGACUCGUUAUCCCCCAUUACACGGUACGUUCCGAUGCAUUACUCACCCGUUCGCCACUCGCCACCAGGGUUGCCCCCGUGCUGCCGUUCGACUUGCAUGUGUAAAGCAUGCCGCCAGCGUUCAAUCUGAGCCAGGAUCAAACUCUAAUCACUAGUGAAUUCGCGGCCGCCUGCAGGUCGACCAUAUGGGAGAGCUCCCAACGCGUUGGAUGCAUAGCUUGAGUAUUCUAUAGUGUCACCUAAAUAGC
RNAcentral lists this ribosomal RNA (583 nucleotides) under uncultured beta proteobacterium. RNAcentral describes it as "partial 16S ribosomal RNA". Lineage: Bacteria; Pseudomonadati; Pseudomonadota; Betaproteobacteria. The record is from RNAcentral.